CUUUACCCCAGGGCAGGCGCCUUUCCCGGGAGGGAAGGCCAGGCCCUCUGGGUCACUAGGAAUCCCUCCCCGGACAGGGGCUGGGCUGGGCUGGGCAGCAGCUGCCUUUGUGAAGGAGCCUGGGACCCGCCGGUUAUCUUAGCUGAUGGAAAGCUGUUUGGAGGAUGUGCAGAGAACGAAGGGAAGCCACCUAGGACAUCACCCAGGCCCAGCUGGGGCCACUUCCUGGAAGACGCCUUCCCUGACUUCCAAGGCAAGGCCCUUGGUGCCCUCCUCCGAGUAUUAGCCCCUUAGAUUUUUAUCAUGUCUAAUUGCUGCACUCACAUCUAUCUGCCUUUUGGAUUACAAGCCUCUGAGGACAACUUCUCCAGUUCCUACUUGCAGUAGGUCCAGGAAAAAAGACCAUGGGAAAACGAAAGAGUGCUGUUGGAGAGUGAAAAGUGUAAGCACUGCCGUAAUGGGCCUGUAAGACCGACUUGUUAGCUGACGCCACCUGGGAGAAGAGGCUUUGAGACACAGAGCAGGAUCAGCGGGGCAGACCCUCUGGCAACAAUGUGAAAUGGGUAACAUUUGACUUCUUCAAGCUUCAUCCCACCUCCCUUUACCUGUUGCCCUGGAGCUGAACUCUGGAUGCCCCAGGACACUUGAGAAAGAAUCCUGGUGUUUUACUAACUGAUAUAGCAAGAUCACAUCCAGGACUUCAUGCUGAAUGUCAGUAAGUGUUCAGUGUUUGGAACUGCCUGCUCAUCCUGACUUGGAAGCAAGUUUAUUUAUUCAGCAUAAAAGGAAGUAUUUGAACUCACAGAGUGUGAUUCUCUGCAACUUUUAAAAGCAGCAAGACUGGGCAGACAACUUUUAGGACAAUAAGACAUAUUUCUCUGUUCUGAAUAUUUUUUGCUAUCUUAACUAAAUUCUAUCUAUGUAGGAGCUCAACAAUAAAAAUGACUUAGUUUUGGCUAAUACAGGUAAUAAUUUAGAUGACAAAAAUGAGCCUGUUUUGUUUUUUUUUUUUGCCUAAAAUUCCGUCUGUUGUCUUCUCCAUUCAACUGUUUCAUUUUUGAACCAUUCUUUUGUGAAACGGAACAUGUAAACAACAUUUUCAUGAAUAUCACCAUAUCACCUAGGUGAAUAGAAUAAACUCUACCCAACC
Bos taurus (domestic cattle) is the source of this 1150-nucleotide long non-coding RNA. Lineage: Eukaryota; Metazoa; Chordata; Mammalia; Artiodactyla; Bovidae. The record is from Ensembl.